CUUGUGUAGGCAACAUUGGAGAAACAAGUCCACGGGCACACUGCACACAGGUAGCCACGUAGGUACGUAGCGCCGUCUUCUUUUAUGUAUAACAUAUCACCUUGACCAGUUCAAAGGGGAAACGCUCAUGGAAGAUGCGGUUGAUCUUUGCUCCACCAGACAGCUCCACUGUGUCCACCUGAUCUCCUGAACCUUCGAUCCUUUUCUCAAAGUCCACAGAGAACUGCUGCACCAUCCUGAAACAACAGUGUAAAAUAUAUAAUAAAUAAAAGACCGUUAAUGA
This is a long non-coding RNA of Micropterus dolomieu (smallmouth bass), 283 nucleotides long. RefSeq lists it as uncharacterized. The record is from RefSeq and is a predicted model, not a curated record. Lineage: Eukaryota; Metazoa; Chordata; Actinopteri; Centrarchiformes; Centrarchidae. The transcript has 2 exons.